UUUUGUGAGCGGUAAGUCCUAUCUGGGUGCCUGCGGUGUUCCCCUCCAUGGAGGGCAUGAGCCGCGGGGUCACGAACCCGGAGGGCACGCUCGUCAA
RNAcentral lists this non-coding RNA (97 nucleotides) under unclassified sequences. Its description in RNAcentral is "DUF3800-V RNA". It matches the Rfam family "DUF3800-V RNA". The record is from Rfam by way of RNAcentral.